Molecule: ribosomal RNA, 305 nt
Filed under: uncultured bacterium
Lineage: Bacteria
Description: bacterial SSU rRNA
Rfam family: Bacterial small subunit ribosomal RNA
Source: RNAcentral
UUUUCCUACGGGAGGCAGCAGUGAGGAAUAUUGGUCAAUGGGCGGGAGCCUGAACCAGCCAAGCCGCGUGAGGGAAGAAGGUACAGCGUAUCGUAAACCUCUUUUGUCAGGGAACAAAGGCGGGGACUAGUCCCCGGAUGAGGGUACCUGAAGAAAAAGCAUCGGCUAACUCCGUGCCAGCAGCCGCGGUAAUACGGAGGAUGCGAGCGUUAUCCGGAUUUAUUGGGUUUAAAGGGUGCGCAGGCGGAAGAUCAAGUCAGCGGUAAAAUUGAGAGGCUCAACCUCUUCGAGCCGUUGAAACUGGU